GAGGAGCUUGCUYCUCUGAUUUAGCGGCGGACGGGUGAGUAACACGUGGGCAACCUGCCCUGUAGACUGGGAUAACUUCGGGAAACCGGAGCUAAUACCGGAUAAUUCUUUUAGCCUCAUGGCUUUAAGCUAAAAGGCGCUUCGGCGUCACUACAGGAUGGGCCCGCGGUGCAUUAGCUAGUUGGUGGGGUAACGGCCUACCAAGGCAACGAUGCAUAGCCGACCUGAGAGGGUGAUCGGCCACAUUGGGACUGAGACACGGCCCAAACUCCUACGGGAGGCAGCAGUAGGGAAUCUUCCACAAUGGACGAAAGUCUGAUGGAGCAACGCCGCGUGAGUGAUGAAGGUUUUCGGAUCGUAAAACUCUGUUGUAAGGGAAGAACAAGUGCGUUAGGUAAUGAACGCACCUUGACGGUACCUUAUUAGAAAGCCACGGCUAACUACGUGCCAGCAGCCGCGGUAAUACGUAGGUGGCAAGCGUUGUCCGGAUUUAUU
RNAcentral lists this ribosomal RNA (495 nucleotides) under Kurthia populi. RNAcentral describes it as "bacterial SSU rRNA". The record is from RNAcentral. Lineage: Bacteria; Bacillati; Bacillota; Bacilli; Caryophanales; Caryophanaceae.